RNAcentral lists this ribosomal RNA (465 nucleotides) under uncultured bacterium. Its description in RNAcentral is "partial 16S ribosomal RNA". It matches the Rfam family "Bacterial small subunit ribosomal RNA", at positions 338 to 795 of the family's 1533-position model. The record is from RNAcentral.
CCUACGGGAGGCAGCAGUGGGGAAUAUUGGGCAAUGGGCGAAAGCCUGACGCAGCGACGCCGCGUGAGGGAUGAAGGUCUUCGGAUCGUAAACCUCUGUCAGCAGGGAAGAACGGUCACUGUGGUAAUCAGCAGUGAAUUGACGGUACCUGCAAAGGAAGCACCGGCUAACUCCGUCCCAGCAGCCGCGGUAAUACGGAGGGUGCGAGCGUUAAUCGGAAUUACUGGGUGUAAAGCGCUCGUAGGCGGUAUGUCAAGUCAAGGGUGAAAGUCCCGGGCUAAACGUGGGAACUGCCUUUGAAACUGGAAAACUGGAGUGUGUGAGAGGAUAGUGGAAUUCCAGGUGUAGGAGUGAAAUGCGUAGAUAUCAGGAGGAACAUCGGUGGCGAAGGCGACUAUCUGGGACAUAACUGACGCUGAGGAGCGAAAGCGUGGGUAGCAAACAGGAUUAGAUACCCCAGUAGUC